RNAcentral lists this ribosomal RNA (305 nucleotides) under uncultured bacterium. RNAcentral describes it as "bacterial SSU rRNA". It matches the Rfam family "Bacterial small subunit ribosomal RNA", at positions 339 to 641 of the family's 1533-position model. The record is from RNAcentral.
CCUCGGGAGGCAGCAGUGAGGAAUAUUGGUCAAUGGGCGGGAGCCUGAACCAGCCAAGUCGCGUGAGGGAAGACGGUCCUACGGAUUGUAAACCUCUUUUGCCGGGGAGCAACGGGGUCCUUGCGAGGGCCCGAUGAGAGUACCCGGAGAAAAAGCAUCGGCUAACUCCGUGCCAGCAGCCGCGGUAAUACGGAGGAUGCGAGCGUUAUCCGGAUUUAUUGGGUUUAAAGGGUGCGUAGGCGGAUUUUUAAGUCAGCGGUAAAAUGUCCGGGCUCAACCCGGGCCGGCCGUUGAAACUGGGGAUC